GUGUAGAACCCUUUUCUCAGGCAAAACCUAACAUCUGACCGCACCCUUUUUGCUAUUAAAAAAAAAAAAAAAAAAGCUUCUAUUUUUUUCCUCCUUUCGUUAAGAUAAAUUCUCCAGUAGACAACCUCUCUCACUAAUUGUGUAUUAGCAACGUAUUUUAUUUUGAGAGCUGUACACUGGGCUCUCAAUGUGGUGUGGAAGGUAGCCUGUUACAGUGCUGGAUUCAUAAAAGGGCCUUUAUGGUUUGUGAAAGAAUAUCUGUGUGCUUAGGGAGGAAACUUUUUGAUCUGCAGAAAAGCCAGAAAGAAGACAUCUAGGACAUCCAUAAAAAUUCUUCAGAGGGUGUUUUACUACUGAGCUGCAAAGGUAGGAAAAAUAAAUUUUUUUUGGUUAGAAAAUAUACUUCUUUCAUCUGCGUUUCAAUAAUUUAUUCCCCUUGUUAGAUAUACAUGGAAUUGAUGUUGCUUAUUCUAAGUGUAAAGUGUUAUUUCUACUUACUGCUCAAUUAGAAAAAUGUAGUGUUUAAUUGUCAGUUUGAAUUUUUCUUUCAUACUAUUACAGUUUAUAUUUUACUAUAGACAGAAUUUACUCUUUCUCCUAAAUUUUGAUAUUCUCCAUAAUUUCAUCGUGCCUUUAUUUCUAUACAUCAGGAAGGCAAUUCUGUGUGUGUGUGUAUAUAUAUAUAUAUAUAGUUAGAAGUUAGAAA
This 706-nucleotide long non-coding RNA is filed under the name Pongo abelii (Sumatran orangutan). RNAcentral's name for it is "lincRNA". The record is from RNAcentral. Lineage: Eukaryota; Metazoa; Chordata; Mammalia; Primates; Hominidae.